GUAAAUGGAGUAGAGGUUAGAAAUUGUAGAGAAUAUAAGAGUGAAGAGAGUUUAUUCAUUAGUGAGAUUGUAAAAUUUUUCCUUUCAUUUAUACAAAGAAAGUUUUCCCAUCCUUACUUGUUUUCCAUAUAUUACUUACUUCAAAAUUCUCUUCUCAACGUGGGUAUAAUUUAGCCUCAUUGGUUAAAUUAUUUGUGGGCGUGAAAAGGCUGACUUAACGUUUUCUCGUGAUGUGCGAAAAUUGUAGAACGUUAAGGCCGCACGGUUCUAGUUUGUUCGGGUGUAACGAAACUAGGCCCGUGACAUUAUGCUCUCUUUAAGGGAUUAAAUUAGAUAGCAAUAUUUAUGUUUAAUGAUAUCUGCUCUAUAUUUAGGUUCUUUUAGACCUUAUUGUCUAGAGCCAGACAUAAUUCUUCCUGUUUCCAUUUUACAGCAAUCACCAGUGGAUCUUUCUGAGAAGCUUCCUGAAUCUUUGUACAUUGAUGAUGUUCUAGAGUCUGCGUCUUAUAGGGAGUUACCUUUGCAGAAAUUAAAGAACAUGACAGGUGAAUCCGGGGCUUCUACAUCUGGUUCAUCCAACUUGGCUUUUGACAACAAAACCGGUGGAAUUUGAUACUAGCAAAUUUAAUGUCUUUCAAACUUUUUGGACAUAUCAUAAAUAGGGAAAUAUUUUGUACAUCGAGAUUAGUAUACUUACAGUUUGUUUGCACAUGUUGUAUAGCUAGUAGCUGCUUGCACCUUCUCUAGUUGUUAGUUCAUGGUCAGUGGUUGAUAGGUCUUGCAGAUUGAAGUUUUCAUUUCUUAGAAUGAUCUACAAAUGUUAAUAUCUUCUGUAUUGACACGAUUGGGCAUCUGUUUUCGUUCCGAAUUGAGUUGUCUACUAUGAUGGUAGCAUUGGAUAUUUGAAAGAAGAGCAGGUGCAUCGCGUUCGUGUUCUUGUUCUAGUAAAUUUGUACUCAUUACUUGACACAAUUUUAAAAGCAUGUAAAAGAAUAUUUUAUAGAGUAAUGUUAUUUAGAUUUAGAGGUGCUAGAAAUGCCAGUUUAGGUAGAAGGUGGAAGAAUAAGGUAAGUCUAGUUAAUUUAGGCUAGAUGGUAGUGUUUUUUAUUUAUUUAUUUUUAUUUAUUUUUAUACUGAGGGUGUGACCAUGGUACAGUUUCUAUUUUUU
Molecule: long non-coding RNA, 1168 nt
Filed under: Olea europaea (common olive)
Lineage: Eukaryota; Viridiplantae; Streptophyta; Magnoliopsida; Lamiales; Oleaceae
Description: long non-coding RNA (OEUR_LNC005160)
Source: RNAcentral